GACGAACGCUGGCGGCGUGCCUAAUACAUGCAAGUUGAGCGCUGAAGGUUGGUACUUGUACCAACUGGAUGAGCAGCGAACGGGUGAGUAACGCGUGGGGAAUCUGCCUUUGAGCGGGGGACAACAUUUGGAAACGAAUGCUAAUACCGCAUAAAAACUUUAAACACAAGUUUUAAGUUUGAAAGAUGCAAUUGCAUCACUCAAAGAUGAUCCCGCGUUGUAUUAGCUAGUUGGUGAGGUAAAGGCUCACCAAGGCGAUGAUACAUAGCCGACCUGAGAGGGUGGUCGGCCCACAUGGGAAUGAGAACACGCCCCAACUCCUACGGGAGGGAGCAGUAAGGGAACUUCGGCAAAGGACGGAAGGCUGAACGGGGCAAGCCGCGUGAGUGAAGAAGGGUUUCGGAUCGUAAAACUCUGGUGGUAGAGAAGAAAGUUGGUGGGAGUGGAAAGCUCAUCAAGUGACGGUAACUAACCAGAAAGGGACGGCUAACUACGUG
RNAcentral lists this ribosomal RNA (497 nucleotides) under uncultured bacterium. RNAcentral describes it as "partial 16S ribosomal RNA". It matches the Rfam family "Bacterial small subunit ribosomal RNA", at positions 28 to 507 of the family's 1533-position model. The record is from RNAcentral.